This 148-nucleotide unclassified non-coding RNA is filed under the name uncultured Capnodiales. Its description in RNAcentral is "sequence contains ITS1". The record is from RNAcentral. Lineage: Eukaryota; Fungi; Ascomycota; Dothideomycetes; Capnodiales.
CCGAGUGAGGGCCUCGUGCCCGACCUCCAACCCCUUGAAGUUACCAACUCUGUUGCCUCGGGGGCGACCCGGCCCCCGCGUCGGCGCCCCCGGAGGACCACACCACUCUGCGUUACUGCGUCGGAGUUUGAAGCAAAAAUGUUUAUUA